Molecule: ribosomal RNA, 461 nt
Filed under: Limnohabitans sp.
Lineage: Bacteria; Pseudomonadati; Pseudomonadota; Betaproteobacteria; Burkholderiales; Comamonadaceae
Description: bacterial SSU rRNA
Rfam family: Bacterial small subunit ribosomal RNA
Source: RNAcentral
CGCGUGCAGGACGAAGGCCUUCGGGUUGUAAACUGCUUUUGUACGGAACGAAAAGGUCUCUAUUAAUACUAGGGGCUCAUGACGGUACCGUAAGAAUAAGCACCGGCUAACUACGUGCCAGCAGCCGCGGUAAUACGUAGGGUGCAAGCGUUAAUCGGAAUUACUGGGCGUAAAGCGUGCGCAGGCGGUUAUAUAAGACAGAUGUGAAAUCCCCGGGCUCAACCUGGGAACUGCAUUUGUGACUGUAUAGCUGGAGUGCGGCAGAGGGGGAUGGAAUUCCGCGUGUAGCAGUGAAAUGCGUAGAUAUGCGGAGGAACACCGAUGGCGAAGGCAAUCCCCUGGGCCUGCACUGACGCUCAUGCACGAAAGCGUGGGGAGCAAACAGGAUUAGAUACCCUGGUAGUCCACGCCCUAAACGAUGUCAACUGGUUGUUGGGUCUUCACUGACUCAGUAACGAAGC